CCAAGUUGCCAACUUCCUAGGUCAUGAUAUUCGUGUUCAUCGGGAAUAUUAUAGACUUCCAGAGGCUACUACCCAGCUUGCCAAAAUAUCCAAACUACUGAUUGCCAUGGAGAAAGGGUCUCUCAAAAGCCUUCAAGGCAAAACACUUGAAGAGAUUGAAAUCAAAGAUAACCUACAGUUGACAGAUUCAAGUGAAGAAAGUGAGGUCGGAGCGGAGCGUGAGGAGGUCGGAGCGGAGCGUGAGGAGGUCGGAGCGGAGCGUGAGGUCAAUGAAGGAAAUCUUGUAUAUCCACAGAUUGAUUCUAUAGAUACUAGAAUGAUGAAGAAAGUUGUCAAGGAACCUCCAGCACAAAGUAAAAAUGGAGCAGCUUCUCUGGAAAAUGCAAGGAGGGUCAAAAGCAUCCUUGGUCUCCCACGGAGGUUGCUGCGAUAAUGAAGCAUUUUGGCGAACAUAUCAAAAAGGAAAACUGGCCACUAUUAUCGAAUGCCAGCAAUGCAAAACUGCAGAAGAUCCUGCUCUGGCUGGUCGUUCUAUUCAAAACAUCAGAGAUUUUGUGAGGAAUCGGGGCGUGUCGUUGAAGAAAAAAGAAAAUCCUAUGUAGAGGAGUCUACAUAACUCCAAAGUACUUCUUGGAGGAGUUACAAAAGAUAUUUUGUAUGUUUUGGUUUCUCAUUUAUUUAUUUUAGAAUUUUACUAUUAGAAGAUUGGUAAAUUCAUUUUGUUGACACUGUUUUAGUGCAUCUGAUCUAAGAGGACAUAAUUUUAUAUUGCCAGUUAUUUUCAUUUCUGUUAACAAAACAAUCCUGUUUUUGUAAAAUGCACUCAAUUUGUUCCUUUUAUUCACCUGUUGCCCUUUUAAUACACACAAAAUACAUGUUUGUGUAUGUGUAUGGCCUUUGUCCUGUUAAUAAAGUUAGCCCUGACAAUUACUGUUCAUGUCAGGGGG
Oreochromis aureus is the source of this 947-nucleotide long non-coding RNA. The record is from Ensembl. NCBI's taxonomy places the organism in Eukaryota, Metazoa, Chordata, Actinopteri, Cichliformes, Cichlidae.